RNAcentral lists this long non-coding RNA (660 nucleotides) under Cyanistes caeruleus (blue tit). RNAcentral's name for it is "lncRNA (ENSCCEG00000022602.1)". The record is from RNAcentral. Lineage: Eukaryota; Metazoa; Chordata; Aves; Passeriformes; Paridae.
UCUAGCUUCAACCUCACUCCAAGGUGUUUGAUAAUGAUCUUAUCUUGGUCACAAACGUGCUGAAAUAAAGUAGUCAGAAUUUGUUUGAACUUCUCCUUCUUCCUCUAGGCUGAGAGAUAUAUGCAUAAAAAGGAAAGUUCUAGCAAUUCUAAUAAGGAGUCUCUCCCUUCCAUCCCCACCUGCAGACUCACCAGGGAAUUUACAAGUCAUCCUAAAACUAUAUCUUCCUUUGUUGAAAGCAUCCCAGCAGAGGCCUGAAAGAUCAUGAAGAGGACUCAGUAUUAUACCUAGACAAGAAAUAAGACAGUGAUACAAUUUUUCAUGUUCCCAAGAAAUCUUACUAUAGAGAUUAAAGAGAUUCUUCCAGUGUGGUACUCAGCUCUCUAAUCCAAUCUAGUAAAAUUAAGUAACAAAUUGAUCAAACUUUGUACCAAUUAUACACCCAGACUUUUUCUAUGACCUUAAGGGAACCUGAUUUUCAUAAGAGAUUUAGCAAUUCAUGGAAUGACUGAAACUAAAUAGGUAGUUUGUCUUAGAAUGAGUUGAUGGAAUAGGUUUGAAGGCCAAUAGGGGUGUUCUGGUUUCUGCUUGUUUUAAACUCAGCAGUGGUAGGUGACAGGAGGAUCAUUGUAUGGAAAAUAAACAUCAAAGUCAGAAGCA